UGCCAGCCGCCGCGGUAAUACGAAGGUCCCGAGCGUUAUUCGGAAUCACUGGGCGUAAAGAGUACGUAGGCGGUUUAGUAAGUCAGGUGUGAAAUCCCGGGGCUCAACCUCGGAACUGCACUUGAUACUGCUAGACUGGAGUAAUGGAGAGGCAGGUGGAAUUCUCGGUGUAGCAGUGAAAUGCGUAGAGAUCGAGAGGAAGACCAAUGGCGAAGGCAGCCUGCUGGACAUUUACUGACGCUGAGGUACGAAGGCUAGGGUAGCGAAAUGGAUUAGAUA
This 279-nucleotide ribosomal RNA is filed under the name uncultured bacterium. RNAcentral's name for it is "partial 16S ribosomal RNA". It matches the Rfam family "Bacterial small subunit ribosomal RNA", at positions 506 to 784 of the family's 1533-position model. The record is from RNAcentral.